ACAUUAGCAACAAAACCCAAAAAAUUAAUCCAAAAAGCCCAAACAACCCCCCAUAAAAAUUGCAUCAACUUUGAUAGAAUGAGAGACCUGGACCAGAGAUUACCAUCUUCUUACAUCAUCAUCGGACCAUGAAAUCACCAUCAUCAUCUUCCAAUUCGUGAGUUUGUGAGAGAGAGGGGUCUAAUUUUGCUCUCCGAUGUUUGG
RNAcentral lists this long non-coding RNA (204 nucleotides) under Actinidia chinensis (golden kiwifruit). RNAcentral describes it as "long non-coding RNA (ACHI_LNC001395)". Lineage: Eukaryota; Viridiplantae; Streptophyta; Magnoliopsida; Ericales; Actinidiaceae. The record is from RNAcentral.